This 2143-nucleotide long non-coding RNA is filed under the name Equus asinus (donkey). RNAcentral's name for it is "lncRNA (ENSEASG00005038296.1)". The record is from RNAcentral. Lineage: Eukaryota; Metazoa; Chordata; Mammalia; Perissodactyla; Equidae.
UUCAGCUGUGUGAUGAGGAGGAUGGGCAAGUCGUUGGUUAUCUGUCACUGUGUAAUGAAUUAGCCCUAAAUGUAGUGGCUCAAAACAAUAAUUGACUUAAGAAUCUGCAGCUUGAGUAGGGCUUAAUGGGGAGGCUUGUUACUGCUGAAUCACCAUCAGUCGGGGCUGCUUUAGUGGGACAAGGAUUUCCACUUUAGAGAUGGCUACUCACAUGGGUGGCAAGUCAUUGCUGGCUGAGGGCUGGGAGCCUUCUUUUCUUUCUAUCUGGGCCCCAACACAGGCUGCUUGAGUUGCUUCACAGCGUGGUUGCUUGGCUCCAAGAGUGAGCAUCGCAGAGAACCAGACACAGCUGCAUUGACUUUGAGGACCCCAGCCGCAUGCACUGUCACUUUGGCCACAUUCUAUUUGUGGAGUCAGUCACAGAGGCUGAUCUAUGUACAAGGAGAAGGAAUGUAGACCUCAGUUUAUGAUGGGAAAGGUAUCAAAAUCAGAUUGUCAGAAGAGCAAGUGGGAUGGAAGGCAUUGUUGUGACCAUUUUUGGAAAAUACAACCUGCCACUGAGGCUGUCAGAGAGAGUGCAAAGGAGAGAGGAGGUUAUAAAAUAUCUUCCCAGGCUUUGGCUUCAACAUCUCUGAUCUACCGUGAUUCCUAUGGCUUGCUGAGCUGAUGCAGGGAAAUCUCAUGAGAAAGAGUUACGAAAGAAUAGCAGAAAUACAUCUCGGGAUGGGGGAGAGAGCUGUUAUCUGGAAAGUCCUUGUGCAAAUGAGACCUGAACAUUCCUUUCCCACUGUGGGUGGGUUACAACUUGAAGGAAGCCGUUCACCCAGCCAUCUAAUUUCCCAGAGAUCUUGAUUGCGAAGGACCGUUUGCAGAUCCCAUCGGAGGGGCCCAGCGGCCCCUCCCACCGCAGAGUGAUUGACACAUUUCACUCACUACCGUGCCAGAAAACAAAGGCUGCAGAUACUUGAAAAUUAAAGUUCCAGCAUUCCCGGUCGGAGUAGAAGAAAGACAAAUCUGUAUAUAUACUUGUAAAGAUUUGCUCUGACUUCCAAAAUGGGUAAAAUAUAGGAUAAAAAGGAAAAGGAGAGGAGAGACCAUCUGAGAGUCCCUUGCAUCCCCAGGCCCAGUCACCUGUGUGGAGUUGCCUCGGGGACCCCUGUCCUCUGCAUUACUGUGCGCUGAGGAUAAGCAAUAGAUGGUGCGCGGCAACGCCCCCAUGGACCAUCCUUCUGGUAGUGACUCAUUGCGCGCGAGAGUGCUCAGUCUCCCUGUCAGUGCCCCAUGUAAUCUAGCCAGUAUGACCAACAACCUGUUGGGCAGCAUGGAACAUUCAGGAUCCUUCAGGCCUUGGAUCCCUAGAGGGCAGGUGGUGACAUAAAAGACAAGCUUUCGCAUCUAGAAGAGGUAGGACUGCGCAAAAACCGUCCAGCUCUCCACACUCACCAGGGCGCUGCUCACUGGCAGGCUGCGCACAGAAGUAUCUCGCACAGCGAGUGCAAGAGCUCGAAGUAUGUGAGCUAUUGUCAGCCUGUCCAGUUUUUCUCUCAGUAAAUGCUGAGCAUCCCUGAUGUGCAGUUUUUUCACAUCUCUUAUUGCUUCCUUAAGACCGUUUCUUAAAGGGGCAAUUAUCCUUUAAGUAUGAACAUCUUUAAGACUUUUAAUAAAUAUAGACCAUCUUACCCUCAGGAUGAUUUAACAAAUUUACCCUUUAGUGAGAGGAUAUAUUUUUAUAUGUUUUCACCAAAAUUAGUAUAAAUAAAUAGCUAAGUUCUGGUUUUCUGAUUCUAAAAGUAAUAUAUACGUGCUUAUUACAAAAACACCUGAAAAUUCUGAAAAAACAAGUAUGUCUUUUGACAAAAUAAGGUUGGCCCAUUAUUUUUAAGGCAAGCUGGUAUUCCAUGGUAUGACAAUAUUUUAUUUAGUUAGUCAUUUAUUAAUAAGAUUUUAGGUUGAUAUAUUAUUUUGCUAUUUGCUAAAUUUUACAAUGAGUCUCUUAAACUCAUAUCCUUGUGAAUUUGCCCAAAUAAGACCUUAAUGUAAUUUCCUUAUCCGUUCUAAUACAUGUCAAUCUGAUAUUUUUAGUUUCUUCUAGGUAAGCAAUCAUGUUAUUUGAAAACCACGAGGAUUUUGAUUUUCCCAUUUU